GUUUGGAUGAAGAAGGAUUCUUCAAUAGAAGUUUUGAUCAGAACUUUAUUUUUAUUGGGACAAAAAUUGAAUGCUUUAUUGAGAAGAUUUCACUGAUAGUACAUUCUAAGAUUUUCAGCAUUUUAUGUCCUUGGGAUGGUUGUACCAUCCAGAUUUUCAAUCCGAAAAGCUCCUGACUGAAUUACUUUGGUAAUCCGAUAUGGU
RNAcentral lists this long non-coding RNA (204 nucleotides) under Elaeis guineensis (African oil palm). RNAcentral describes it as "long non-coding RNA (EGUI_LNC022441)". Lineage: Eukaryota; Viridiplantae; Streptophyta; Magnoliopsida; Arecales; Arecaceae. The record is from RNAcentral.